Vulpes vulpes (red fox) is the source of this 131-nucleotide small nucleolar RNA. The record is from Ensembl. NCBI's taxonomy places the organism in Eukaryota, Metazoa, Chordata, Mammalia, Carnivora, Canidae.
AUGGAUCUAUUUGACAGACCUGUGGCAGUUACUGUCUGCUGCUAAGGUUUCCAUCAGAGAUGCAAGAAAAAUGUGUCCUCAUGCUUUCUUUCUGAUUGUGGCAGUCAAUGCCGGAGUACAGGGAAAAAUAA